UACGGAGGAUGCAAGCGUUAUCCGGAAUGAUUGGGCGUAAAGCGUCCGCAGGUGGCAAUGUAAGUCUGCUGUUAAAGAGCCUAGCUCAACUAGAUAAAAGCAGUGGAAACUACAUAGCUAGAGUACGUUCGGGGCAGAGGGAAUUCCUGGUGUAGCGGUGAAAUGCGUAGAGAUCAGGAAGAACACCGGUGGCGAAGGCGCUCUGCUAGGCCGUAACUGACACUGAGGGACGAAAGCUAGGGGAGCGAAUGGG
RNAcentral lists this ribosomal RNA (253 nucleotides) under uncultured bacterium. Its description in RNAcentral is "partial 16S ribosomal RNA". It matches the Rfam family "Bacterial small subunit ribosomal RNA", at positions 524 to 776 of the family's 1533-position model. The record is from RNAcentral.